CCUACGGGAGGCAGCAGUGGGGAAUAUUGCACAAUGGGGGAAACCCUGAUGCAGCGACGCCGCGUGAGUGAAGAAGUACUUCGGUAUGUAAAGCUCUAUCAGCAGGGAAGAAAAUGACGGUACCUGAGUAAGAAGCCCCGGCUAACUACGUGCCAGCAGCCGCGGUAAUACGUAGGGGGCAAGCGUUAUCCGGAUUUACUGGGUGUAAAGGGAGCGUAGACGGCAGCACAAGUCUGGAGUGAAAUGCCGGGGCUUAACCCCGGAACUGCUUUUGACACUGUGCAGCUAGAGUGCAGGAGAGGUAAGUGGAAUGCGUGGUGUAGCGGUGAAAUGCGUAGAUAUUAGGAGGAACACCAGUGGCGAAGGCGGCUUACUGGACUGUAACUGACGUUGAGGCUCGAAAGCGUGGGGAGCAAACAGGAUUAGAUACCCUUGUAGUC
This 440-nucleotide ribosomal RNA is filed under the name uncultured bacterium. RNAcentral's name for it is "partial 16S ribosomal RNA". It matches the Rfam family "Bacterial small subunit ribosomal RNA", at positions 338 to 795 of the family's 1533-position model. The record is from RNAcentral.